Molecule: long non-coding RNA, 612 nt
Organism: Pan troglodytes (chimpanzee)
Lineage: Eukaryota; Metazoa; Chordata; Mammalia; Primates; Hominidae
Exons: 3
Source: RefSeq, a predicted model, not a curated record
CGAGGGUUCUCUGCGUCUGGAGAACACAGGACGUCCACAGGAAAGUUCUCCCCACUGCACUCCCGGCUGGCUCUGAAAAUUAUGAAGGCAGAGACGUCCGUGCCUGAUACUGUCCUGGCAGCCACGUGCCCUCAUACACUUGCCCAGACCCUGAAUGUGCUACACGGAGUGACCCCAAUUACACCGUGGGCCCCGGGUGACUGCGACACCUCUCUUUUCCUUAAAAUAAAGGCUCUAAAAUUGUGUGAUUCCACCUCCCUGAGGCUAAGCGAAAGAGCCGCGUCUGCCCCUGUCCUUCCCGGGGGCUGGCAGGGAGUGGGUGCCCGGCGGUGACUCAGCCCUGCAGCCUCCCAGCCCUUCCCCGUAUGCGGGCAGGUGAUGCGGACGCCUCCGACCCUCGUGGGGUUUGUGGAGAGCGUUGAUCAGCGCUGCCGUCAGAACAGGACCUGUGCGAGGCCUCGCAGAUGCCGGGAGCCGGGCGGUGCUCUCGGUGCUUCUCAUCAAAUCCACUGGCUCUUCGAGAGGAAGCACAUGUCACAGCCCAGCUCAAACAAGAAGCAAGAAAAUCACUCUUCAUUUUGGAAUUGUAAAAUAAAGUGGAAAUUAUCCUCA